GGAAAACUAUAAUAAGACUGGCUUGAACAGCAGUGUAAUCCAGUGUCAUUUUUCUCUCAUGUAGAUGCCUAGAGGGGAGGAGGAGCUGAGGAGCUGAGCUGUGUAGCCACCAGCAGCACCAUCACUGACCAACCCCCAUCCUCUGUCUCUGCCAUCUGGGCCAUGCAGAUAUGUGGAUACAUACCACAGAGGUACAGGGAUCAUAAAGGACAUUGCUCUGAGUUCCAGAAGAUAGAGUAAAAGUGAACAACAGAAAGGGGGCCUCUCUGAGUCUCCUUGAUGAAAAUUGAAGCCCACCAUAAAAGUGAAGAAAAUCACUGCAUUAAAGGCACACCGGACCACUAUAGUUGCAGAGAGAAAAUGGCAUCAUUUCAAGUUGUCCUGAUUUUUAAACAUAAGCUGCUAAAAUCAUCACAAAAGGAGAAGUCCAGGAAGAAGGAGGAUGAUCUUUGGAAUACCCUGAAUUCUGGUAAUAGCCCACAAGCUUACAGAAUGUUGUGAUUGAGGGAUUAAAAUUGUUU
RNAcentral lists this long non-coding RNA (521 nucleotides) under Fukomys damarensis (Damara mole-rat). Its description in RNAcentral is "lncRNA (ENSFDAG00000031942.1)". Lineage: Eukaryota; Metazoa; Chordata; Mammalia; Rodentia; Bathyergidae. The record is from RNAcentral.